UACGUAGGGUGCAAGCGUUGUCCGGAAUUAUUGGGCGUAAAGAGCUUGUAGGCGGUUUGUCGCGUCUGCUGUGAAAUUUCGGGGCUCAACCCCGAACUUGCAGUGGGUACGGGCAGACUAGAGUGUGGUAGGGGAGACUGGAAUUCCUGGUGUAGCGGUGAAAUGCGCAGAUAUCAGGAGGAACACCGAUGGCGAAGGCAGUGAUCUGGGCCAGUACUGACGCUGAGGAGCGAAAGCGUGGGGAGCAAACAGG
This 253-nucleotide ribosomal RNA is filed under the name uncultured bacterium. RNAcentral's name for it is "partial 16S ribosomal RNA". It matches the Rfam family "Bacterial small subunit ribosomal RNA", at positions 524 to 776 of the family's 1533-position model. The record is from RNAcentral.